RNAcentral lists this ribosomal RNA (403 nucleotides) under Cherax dispar. RNAcentral describes it as "partial 16S ribosomal RNA". It matches the Rfam family "Archaeal large subunit ribosomal RNA", at positions 2012 to 2615 of the family's 2987-position model. Lineage: Eukaryota; Metazoa; Arthropoda; Malacostraca; Decapoda; Parastacidae. The record is from RNAcentral.
GGUAUUAUGACCGUGCGAAGGUAGCAUAAUCAUUAGUCUUUUAAUUGAAGGCUGGUAUGAAUGGUUGGACGAGAAAUUAGCUGUCUUAAUUUUGAAAAUUGAAUUUAACUUUUGAGUGAAAAGGCUCAAAUGGGCUAGAGGGACGAUAAGACCCUAUAAAGUUUGUACAUUAAAAUAAUUAAAGGUGAUUUAGGUUUAUAAAGUCUAUAAUUAGAAAAGUGUUUAGUUGGGGCGACUGAGAUAUAAGUUAUCUAACUGUUUCUUUGUUUUAAUCAAAAAUAUUUGAGUUUAUGAUCCUUUUUUAGGAUUAAAGAGUAAAUUACUUUAGGGAUAACAGCGUAAUUUUUUUUGAGAGUUCUUAUCGAUAAGAGAGUUUGCGACCUCGAUGUUGAAUUAAAAUUUC